GACCUGGUGGUGUAUAGCAACACACCUGCUAUGCAUAAAUGGAAGAUAUACGCAUAAUUGGCAGGAGAUCCCCGUUCGAUUCGGGGUCAGGUCA
Mycena albidolilacea is the source of this 94-nucleotide non-coding RNA. The record is from the annotation of a GenBank genome assembly. Lineage: Eukaryota; Fungi; Basidiomycota; Agaricomycetes; Agaricales; Mycenaceae.